CCUACGGGUGGCUGCAGUGGGGAAUAUUGCACAAUGGGGGAAACCCUGAUGCAGCGACGCCGCGUGAGUGAAGAAGUAUCUCGGUACGUAAAGCUCUAUCAGCAGGGAAGAAAAUGUCGGUACCUGACUAAGAAGCCCCGGCUAACGACGUGCCAGCAGCCGCGGUAAUACGUAGGGGGGAAGCGUUAUCCGGAUUUACUGGGUGUAAAGGGAGCGUAGACGGGAGCACAAGUCUGGAGUGAAAUCCCGGGGCUUAACCCCGGAACUGCUUUGGAAACUGUGCGGCUGGAGUGCAGGAGGGGUAAGCGGAAUGCCUGGUGUAGCGGUGAAAUGCGUAGAUAUUAGGCGGAACACCGGUGGCGAAGGCGGCUUACUGGACUGUAACUGACGUUGAGGCUCGAAAGCGUGGGGAGCAAACAGGAUUAGAUACCCCGGUAGUC
RNAcentral lists this ribosomal RNA (440 nucleotides) under uncultured bacterium. RNAcentral describes it as "partial 16S ribosomal RNA". It matches the Rfam family "Bacterial small subunit ribosomal RNA", at positions 338 to 795 of the family's 1533-position model. The record is from RNAcentral.